This 2803-nucleotide long non-coding RNA is filed under the name Salmo salar (Atlantic salmon). RNAcentral's name for it is "lncRNA (ENSSSAG00000097527.1)". Lineage: Eukaryota; Metazoa; Chordata; Actinopteri; Salmoniformes; Salmonidae. The record is from RNAcentral.
GUUGGAAUAGGGUCCAGUAUGCAGCUUGAAGGUUUAGAGGCCAUGAUUAUUUUCAUCAUUGUGUCAAGAGAUAUAGUACUAAAACACUUUAGUAUCUCCCUUGAUCCUAGGUCCUGGCAGAGUUGUGUAGACUCAGGACAAUGGAGUUUUGGAGGAAUACGCAGAUUUAAAGAGGAGUCUGUAAUUUGCUUUCUAAUGAUCAUGAUCUUUUCCUCAAAGAAGUUCAUGAAUUCAUUACUGCUGAAGUGAAAGCCAUCCUCCAUUAGCGAAGGCUCCUUUUUAGUUAGCUUUGCGACAGUAUCAAAAAUACAUUUCGGAUUGUUCUUAUUUUCCUCAAUUAAGUUGGAAAAAUAGGGUGAUCGUCAGUGUUCGGCUUCAUUCAUUUGUCAGAUAACUAUGAAAUCUGACAUAUUAUUUCUCAAGUCCUAGAUUACCAAACUUUUGUUUUCUUUGCCAUAGAGUGAACUCGACGUGACGUCGUUACAGCGCGCCAAACGGGUUUCGUCUCUCUUACAGAAGAGACUGAGAAGUACCUCUUUCUCUAACCGGGUUUUUAACGUUUCACGUUGAUAUCAGCAGUCUGUGUGUCACUCGCCGUCUGAUGAAAGGUUGUUAGGAUGCGAUAAGCGUAUUCUAGUGGAGAAAGUGUCCAAAAUAAACCUUUAUUUCGAGUGCGAAGACAGGACAACACGCCACGGCACUAGUAACGUUAGUUACUAGCAAUAACGGAUCUCUGGUUUUAUCGAAGGAUGUCCGGUCCCUCCUGUCCUCUCAUCUGAAGACCGUAGGAGAGAAGUCUAGUUUAGUGAUGAAACAGGACAUGUUGACCAGAGGGGGUAACACGGGUACACUCCUGCCAGGGAGGAGAGACUCUAUGGGGGUAUCGCUGCUAGGCAGCACCCCCUCUUCCUCCUCCACCACCCUCUCUUCCUCCUCCAACUCUUCAAUCUCCUCCCUCUCUUCUUCCAUCUCUUCAUCUUCCUCUGGGGAAGAAAGGAGAAAGGGAGGUGGUGAGGAGUUUAUUGGCAGAGAGGAGGAAGAGGGGGAGGUGGUCAGCAUUUCCAUAGUUACCAUAGCGGAGGAGUCCUGCUCCUCGGAACCGUUCGGAACUGUCGGCGGUCACGUCGAGGUAACAGCAAAUGAGAGCGCGGCUAGGGAAAGAGAUGGCCAAUCAAAAACCUCCCACAGUACCCAGACUGAAGAAGAGGGGGUGCGUAAUGGAGUGGAAGAGGAGGAAGGUAGAAAGGAGGAUGAUGAGAAGGAGCAGGGAGAUGAAGGUGAGGAGGAGGAGGCAGAGGAGACGGAUGAAGAGAGAAGGAACCAGGUGUUUGUCUCGGAUGAGAACCCUGAAACGCCUUCCGCACUCCUCAACAUCAAGGUAAGAACCCACCUCUCUCCCCUUCGAGCCUAAUUCAGAGUCCAGAGACACCAUAGUCCGGAAUCCCAUUGUGACAUACAGUGGCAAGAAAAAGUAUGUGAACCUUUUGGAAAAUACCUGGAUUUCUGCAUAAACUGGUCAUAAAAUUUGAUCUGAUCUUCAUCUAAGUCACAACAAUAGACAAAACACAGUCUGCUUAAACUAAUAACACACAAACAAUUAUAUGUAUUUCCAUGUCUUUAUUGAACGCACCGUGUAAAAAUUCACAGUGCAGGGUGGGAAAAGUAUGUGAACCCUUGGAUUUAAUAACUGGUUGACCCUCCUUUGGCAGCAAUAACCUCAACCAAACGUUUUCUGUAGUUGAGGAUCAGACCUGCACAACGGUUCAGGAGGAAUUUUGGACCAUUCCUCUUUACAAAACUGUUUCAGUUCAGCAAUAUUCUUGGGAUGUCUGGUGUGAACUGCUCUCUUAAGGUCCUGCCACAGCAUCUCAAAUCGGGUUGAGGUCAGGACUCUGACUGGGCCACUCCAGAAGGUCUAUUUUCUUCUGUUGAAGCCAUUCUGUUGUUGAUUUACUUCCUGUGUUUUGGGUCGUUGUCCUGUUGCGUCACCCAACUUCUGUUGAGCUUCAAUUGGCGGACAGAUGGCCUUAUAUUCUCCUGCAAAAUCUCUUGAUGAACUUGGGAAAUCAUUUCUCCAUCGAUGAUCACAAGCUGUCCAGGCCCUGAGGCAGCAAAGCAGCCCCAAACCAUGAUGCUCCCUCCACCAUACUUUACAGUUGGGAUGAGGUUUAUGAUGUUGGUGUGCUGUGCCUUUUUUUCUCCACACAUAGUGUUGUGUUUUCCUUCCAAACAACUCAACUGUAGUUUAAUCUGUCCACAGAAUAUUUUGUCAGUAGCGCUGUGGAACAUCCAGAUGCUAUUUUGCAAACUUCAGACGUGCAGCAAUGUUUUUUUUGGACAGCAGUGGCUUCUUCCGUGGUGUCCUCCCAUGAACACCAUUCUUGUUUAGUGUUUUACGUAUCGUAGACUCGUCAACAGAGAUGUUAGCAUCUUCCAGAGAUUUCUGUAAGUCUUUAGCUGACACUCUAGGAUUCUUCUUAACCUCAUUGAGCAUUCUGCUCUGUGCUCUUGAAGUCAUUUUUGCAGGAUGGCCACUCCUAGGGAGAGUAGCAACAGUGAUGAACUUUCUCCAUUUAUAGACAAUUAGUCUUACCGUGGACUGAUGAACAUCAAGGCUUUAAGAGAUACUUUUAUAACCCUUUCCAGCUUUAUGCAAGUCAACGAUUCUUCUCUUUUGUUUGAGGAAUGGUUCACAUCAGGCAAUGCUCCUUGUGAAUAGCAAACUCAAACGCAGCUCUAACCAACAUAUCCAACCUGACAGAGCUUGAGAGGACCUGCAGAGAAGAAUGGGAGAAACUCCCCA